GAUGAACGCUGGCGGCGUGCCUAAUACAUGCAAGUCGAGCGAGCAGACGAGGAGCUUGCUCCUUUGACGUUAGCGGCGGACGGGUGAGUAACACGUGGAUAACCUACCUAUAAGACUGGGAUAACUUCGGGAAACCGGAGCUAAUACCGGAUAACAUGUUGAACCGCAUGGUUCAACAGUGAAAGACGGUCUUGCUGUCACUUAUAGAUGGAUCCGCGCCGCAUUAGCUAGUUGGUAAGGUAACGGCUUACCAAGGCAACGAUGCGUAGCCGACCUGAGAGGGUGAUCGGCCACACUGGAACUGAGACACGGUCCAGACUCCUACGGGAGGCAGCAGUAGGGAAUCUUCCGCAAUGGGCGAAAGCCUGACGGAGCAACGCCGCGUGAGUGAAGAAGGUCUUCGGAUCGUAAAACUCUGUUAUUAGGGAAGAACAAAUGUGUAAGUAACUAUGCACGUCUUGACGGUACCUAAUCAGAAAGCCACGGCUAGCUACGUG
This 497-nucleotide ribosomal RNA is filed under the name uncultured bacterium. RNAcentral's name for it is "partial 16S ribosomal RNA". It matches the Rfam family "Bacterial small subunit ribosomal RNA", at positions 28 to 507 of the family's 1533-position model. The record is from RNAcentral.